This 161-nucleotide ribosomal RNA is filed under the name uncultured bacterium. RNAcentral's name for it is "partial 16S ribosomal RNA". It matches the Rfam family "Bacterial small subunit ribosomal RNA", at positions 355 to 507 of the family's 1533-position model. The record is from RNAcentral.
UGGGGAAUAUUGGACAAUGGGCGGAAGCCUGAUCCAGCCAUGCCGCGUGUGUGAAGAAGGCCUUUUGGUUGUAAAGCACUUUAAGCGAGGAGGAGGCUACUAGUAUUAAUACUACUGGAUAGUGGACGUUACUCGCAGAAUAAGCACCGGCUAACUCUGUG